RNAcentral lists this ribosomal RNA (328 nucleotides) under uncultured Neocallimastigales. RNAcentral's name for it is "partial large subunit ribosomal RNA". The record is from RNAcentral. Lineage: Eukaryota; Fungi; Neocallimastigomycota; Neocallimastigomycetes; Neocallimastigales.
GUUGUUUUUCCGAAAAUUAAUUACGAAUGGCUUGAUUUUGUGUUGUAUUGACCUUAUCAGCUUUCUGCACUUUUUUCGAGUCUUUCUUAAUGCACUUUUCGGUUAACAAGUCAACAUCAAUUUCUUUUGUUGUAAAAGAGUAUUCGGAAGGUGGCUUUCUUUUCGGAGAAAGUGUUUAUAGCCCUAUACUUCUACAAUCGGAGAGAUUGAGGUCUGCAGCGUAGAUCCUUCGGGGUUAGAUACAUUUGUGCUAAGUUGUAGCUUUUCAUAGACAACUUGUUGACUAUGUUUAGUCAUGCGGCUUACUCGCUUAUGCUAUUUUACCUAC